RNAcentral lists this ribosomal RNA (588 nucleotides) under uncultured bacterium. RNAcentral's name for it is "bacterial SSU rRNA". The stretch from base 1 to 486 matches the Rfam family "Bacterial small subunit ribosomal RNA", at positions 338 to 1533 of the family's 1533-position model. The record is from RNAcentral.
CCUACGGGAGGCAGCAGUAGGGAAUAUUGGGCAAUGGAGGCAACUCUGACCCAGCCAUGCCGCGUGCAGGAUGAAGGCGUUAUGCGUUGUAAACUGCUUUUAUAUAGGAAGAAAGAGUUCUUGCGAGAACAGUUGACGGUACUAUAUGAAUAAGCACCGGCUAACUCCGUGCCAGCAGCCGCGGUAAUACGGAGGGUGCAAGCGUUGUCCGGAUUUAUGGGUUUAAAGGGUGCGUAGGCGGUUUAUAAGUCAGUGGUGAAAGACGGUCGCUCAACGAUUGCAGUGCCAUUGAUACUGGUAGACUUGAGUGAGAUUGAGGUAGCUGGAAUGGAUAGUGUAGCGGUGAAAUGCAUAGAUAUUAUCCAGAACACCAAUUGCGUAGGCAAGUUACUAAGUCUCAACUGACGCUGAGGCACGAAAGUGUGGGUAUCAAACAGGAUUAGAUACCCUGGUAGUCCANACUGUAAACCGNUGAUAACUACUGUGCUUAGGUCUGUGUAGAGAGAAUAGUAGUAUACACGNGGAGACGCGCGACGAGACGACAANAGAGUAGAGAGNGAGAGNGCGAGGACGACGACGAGGGAGAGG